Molecule: transfer RNA, 77 nt
Filed under: Micromonospora acroterricola
Lineage: Bacteria; Bacillati; Actinomycetota; Actinomycetes; Micromonosporales; Micromonosporaceae
Description: Micromonospora sp. 5R2A7 tRNA-Pro
Rfam family: tRNA
About the family: Transfer RNA (tRNA) molecules are approximately 80 nucleotides in length. Their secondary structure includes four short double-helical elements and three loops (D, anti-codon, and T loops). Further hydrogen bonds mediate the characteristic L-shaped molecular structure. tRNAs have two regions of fundamental functional importance: the anti-codon, which is responsible for specific mRNA codon recognition, and the 3' end, to which the tRNAs corresponding amino acid is attached (by aminoacyl-tRNA synthetases). tRNAs cope with the degeneracy of the genetic code in two manners: having more than one tRNA (with a specific anti-codon) for a particular amino acid; and 'wobble' base-pairing, i.e. permitting non-standard base-pairing at the 3rd anti-codon position.
Source: RNAcentral
CGGGACGUGGCGCAGCUUGGUAGCGCACUUGACUGGGGGUCAAGGGGUCGUCGGUUCGAAUCCGGCCGUCCCGACCG